This 482-nucleotide ribosomal RNA is filed under the name uncultured bacterium. Its description in RNAcentral is "partial 16S ribosomal RNA". It matches the Rfam family "Bacterial small subunit ribosomal RNA", at positions 28 to 507 of the family's 1533-position model. The record is from RNAcentral.
GACGAACGCUGGCGGCGUGCUUAACACAUGCAAGUCGAACGAUGAAGAAGAGAAACGCGAACUUCGGUUCAACUUUCACUUCGGAUUAGUGGCAGACGGGUGAGUAACGCGUUAGCAACCUACCUCUUACAAAGGGAUAGCCUCGGGAAACCGUGAUUAAUACCAUAUGACACAUUCAUAAGGCAUCUUAAGAAUGUUAAAGCUACGGCGGUAAGAGAUGGGCUCGCGUCCCAUUAGCUAGUUGGUGAGGUAACGGCCCACCAAGGCGACGAUGGGUAACCGGCGUGAGAGGGUGAACGGUCACAUUGGAACUGAGACACGGUCCAAACUCGUAAGGGAGGAAGCAGUGGGAAAGAAUGAACAAUGGAGGGAACACUGAGGAAGCGACGCCGCGUGAGCGAUGAAGGAAUUCGUUUCGUAAAGCUCUGUUCUAUGGGAAGAAAAGGACUGUACAAUAGGAGAAAGCCCCGGCUAAAUAAGUG